GAAGGUGGGGUCUGCCGGACGCGUGUUCCUGCCACCAGGUGCCGCUCCCCGCGAGGCCGGCUCAGGAGCAGGUAGAAUUUAAACAAUUGAAAAAAAUCCCUUCCCAAUCAGAAUACCAUCCACAGGACAACGAAGAAAACCCAUCUUCAGUCCCCAACCACGAAAUGGUGGGGGGUGGGGAGGACUGGAAAAGGAGUAAGGGGAGAGGAAGGGUGAGCAGCUGCAAGGUUCCUGGUAAACGCGCUCACGUCCUGGAAGGAAGCCCGGUGCCAGCCAGCCUUCCUGAAAAGACCAAGCCCGCGCCAUCCGGCUUCCUCCAGUGGACGCCUGCAGGACCCAGGUGAGAUACGGGACUGGUUGGGGACGCGAGGGGCGGAGGGCGGCGACCAAGGGAUCCUGACUUGGGGGCGUUGCCUCCCGGAAUCCAAGCGGCCUUUUGCCCGGGUCUCCCGAGAUGCAUCGAAAUUGAGCUAGUCCACAUAGCCCCCCGACUGCGUGGUGCCCUUUUCUGACUUAAAACAUUCCUUGUACCUUUAUUUACACGAUCCAAGUUGCAGUGUGCCUAGAUUUUCCUCCAAGGACAAAAAUGUGAAUAAAGCAAUAUUUUAGCCAAA
Molecule: long non-coding RNA, 614 nt
Organism: Mandrillus leucophaeus (drill)
Lineage: Eukaryota; Metazoa; Chordata; Mammalia; Primates; Cercopithecidae
Exons: 3
Source: RefSeq, a predicted model, not a curated record